AUAUAGGCCUGCCUAGACAACAUUUUUGGGCAGCACAGUCACGCCUUUUUUUUAUAACUGAGAAAAUACAUUCAUCUGCAUCCCACGACGGUGAGACAGAUCGCCUAAAUGAAUUAGGAAAUGUAUGGACUGAAUACAGCUUGAAGUCUAACCCGUCCCAAAUGAGCCCGCAAGGGCCCGUUCACACGGAACACGACGCAAAGGAGCGGGAUGGAAAAUAUGGAAAAGUUGGAACAGCACUCAUGUGCUAAAAACCAUUUCCAAAGCUUUUAGCACAGGUGACUGUCGGGAGCUCGUCUCGGUGCAGAAGAAGCAGUGUUCCAAUUGAGGGGGGGCUCGGACCUCCCAUAAGCAUUAAGGGACCCCCAUAACACCCAAAAAAUAUACUUGGCGUUGCGCAUUAUAACCAAUCACACGCGACUUAGAACGCAGUGGCCAAUCAGAGGCGCUCAGAACAGUCAUCGCUGAAACCUGGAGUUUUGUUCAGAUUCCCUCAUUAUAAGCAACGAAGUGCAGAUGUACGAACUAUGCAGCAUCCAGAGGCCCGUCCAAACCCAGCGAUCCCAUCACAUCCUGAGAUACCGUCGUCUGAUGGACUUCUGAAGGCAGCGUGCGAUAUCCCACAAUCCUGUGGCAAGCUGAUCUGAGCUAAAGGGGAAACAUGGUGUCUGAGAGUUGUAAAAUUGCAAGCACGGCGUAUAACCGAUGGCGACGCAGCAACGUAAACCGAGACGUUUCAGCGAUCGCGUCUGAUUUCGUCCUGCGUUCGUUCAUUUUCACCCGGUUCUGAGCGUCCAGUGACGAUCAG
Labeo rohita (rohu) is the source of this 808-nucleotide long non-coding RNA. RefSeq lists it as uncharacterized. The record is from RefSeq and is a predicted model, not a curated record. NCBI's taxonomy places the organism in Eukaryota, Metazoa, Chordata, Actinopteri, Cypriniformes, Cyprinidae. The transcript has 4 exons.